This 440-nucleotide ribosomal RNA is filed under the name uncultured bacterium. Its description in RNAcentral is "partial 16S ribosomal RNA". It matches the Rfam family "Bacterial small subunit ribosomal RNA", at positions 338 to 795 of the family's 1533-position model. The record is from RNAcentral.
CCUACGGGAGGCAGCAGUGGGGAAUAUUGCACAAUGGGGGAAACCCUGAUGCAGCGACGCCGCGUGAGUGAAGAAGUAUCUCGGUACGUAAAGCUCUAUCAGCAGGGAAGAUAAUGACGGUACCUGACCAAGAAGCCCCGGCUAACUACGUGCCAGCAGCCGCGGUAAUACGUAGGGGGCAAGAGUUAUCCGGAUUUACUGGGUGUAAGGGGAGCGUAGGCGGCAGCAAAGGGCGGGAGUGAAAUCCCGGGGCUUAAGCCCGGAACUGCUUUGGAAACUGUGCGGCUGGAGUGCAGGAGGGGUGAGCGGAAUGUCUAGUGUAGCGGUGAAAUGCGUAGAUAUUAGGAGGAACACCGGUGGCGAAGGCGGCUUACUGGACUGUAACUGACGUUGAGGCUCGAAAGCGUGGGGAGCAAACAGGAUUAGAUACCCGAGUAGUC